UGGGGAAUUUUGCACAAUGGGCGCAAGCCUGAUGCAGCGACGCCGCGUGAGGGAUGAAGGCCUUCGGGUUGUAAACCUUUUUCGCUCAUGGUCAAGCCGCAGCUUUGGGUUGUGGUGAGGGUAGUGGGUAAAGAAGCGCCGGCUAACUACGUGCCAGCAGCCGCGGUAAUACGUAGGGCGCGAGCGUUGUCCGGAAUUAUUGGGCGUAAAGGGCUUGUAGGCGGUUGGCCGCGUCUGCCGUGAAAUCCUCUGGCUUAACUGGGGGCGUGCGGUGGGUACGGGUUGACUUGAGUGCGGUAGGGGGGACUGGAAUUCCUGGUGUAGCGGUGGAAUGCGCAGAUAUCAGGGGGGGCACCGGUGGCGAAGGCGGGUCUCUGGGCCGUUACUGACGCUGAGGAGCGAAAGCGUGGGGAGCGAACAGG
Molecule: ribosomal RNA, 422 nt
Filed under: Verrucomicrobiota bacterium
Lineage: Bacteria; Pseudomonadati; Verrucomicrobiota
Description: Verrucomicrobia bacterium partial 16S ribosomal RNA
Rfam family: Bacterial small subunit ribosomal RNA
Source: RNAcentral